GAGUUUGAUCCUGGCUCAGAUUGAACGCUGGCGGCAUGCCUUACACAUGCAAGUCGAACGGCAGCACGGGAGCUUGCUCCUGGUGGCGAGUGGCGAACGGGUGAGUAAUGCAUCGGAACGUAUCCUGGAGUGGGGGAUAACGUAGCGAAAGUUACGCUAAUACCGCAUAUUCUGUGGGCAGGAAAGCGGGGGACCUUCGGGCCUCGCGCUCUUGGAGCGGCCGAUGUCGGAUUAGCUAGUUGGUGAGGUAAAGGCUCACCAAGGCGACGAUCCGUAGCAGGUCUGAGAGGAUGAUCUGCCACACUGGAACUGAGACACGGUCCAGACUCCUACGGGAGGCAGCAGUGGGGAAUUUUGGACAAUGGGGGCAACCCUGAUCCAGCCAUGCCGCGUGAGUGAAGAAGGCCUCGGUUGUAAGAC
Molecule: ribosomal RNA, 420 nt
Filed under: bacterium enrichment culture clone ALO1_GLFRUDD03G67PL
Lineage: Bacteria
Description: bacterial SSU rRNA
Rfam family: Bacterial small subunit ribosomal RNA
Source: RNAcentral